Mastomys coucha (southern multimammate mouse) is the source of this 1209-nucleotide long non-coding RNA. RefSeq lists it as uncharacterized. The transcript has 4 exons. The record is from RefSeq and is a predicted model, not a curated record. NCBI's taxonomy places the organism in Eukaryota, Metazoa, Chordata, Mammalia, Rodentia, Muridae.
UAGCUGCGUAUGAAAAGCCGGUUGAGAGUUUAGUAGGUAGAGAACACAGAAGUGUUUCUGUGUCUAAUGAUCUGGGCAAGGGCUUCUGAAUACGAGACAGCAGCUGAGAAUGCAAUGGAAGGGCUGCACAGCUUGCCAAGCCAGACAUCAAGACAUCCUGCAUGUGGGUUAGGGUCCAUGAGCCCACACAUAUCCCUUCCACUUGGGGACUAUGAAGACCACCUUGACUAAGUCAUAGAAGAUGAGUUGUCCUGACCCCGUGGUCUGUUAUACCUCUCCCCUGUCUCUUUCCUACUCACACAUCUGAGUGCCCUCUGAACUUUUAAUUCUCUUCCAGAAGGGCUGAUGUUUGGACUUAGCCUAUUCCCUGCAUGUCUGAUGGAACUCUCAGUUCAUCCCAAAUAUCCGUCUCUGAUUCUGCCAUUCCCUCGGUGGGCUCAAGUAAGGGAAAGCCCAAACGAAGUUUGCAGGAGAGCUGCUAACAGAGUCUGACAAAACUUUUUGACAGAGAAAAAAAAAAGAAUGAAUCUCAAUCUCUUCCCAUUGUUGACUGCUCUAAGGAAAACGAUCUUUGGCAAAACCCAAAUAUUGGUGCUGACGACAGUUAGUAGAAGCUCCUGCAUCCGGUGUCUGUUCUCUGGAACUCAUGCACUUAAAAAUCUAGACCACAAUGAGAUGCUAUUCAGAGCGAAGUGUCAAUAACCAACCUUGGUGGCAUCCAUCUAUUUGGAAAAUCCAAAGGAAGAAUAAGAAAGACCAUCAUACUGUCUCAGAGGUAGCAAGAACUUGAAUGACAGCAAACCCACAAGCUGUGAGAAGACCAAUGAGAAGGGCGAAUGACCGAAAUGUGUGGGCUUUAGGGAUCACUGCCCACUGCUCUUCUCUGUUCUAGCCAACCAUACCAGAGACUAUGCGCUGAUUUAGUGGAGCCAGAAUUUUUUAUCUUCAAGAAAAUCAAGAAAUCUAGCACUGCCUUGUAAAAGCUGGAAGCAAGUUUUUAAAAUAAAUAUAAUACACUGUGAAGGCCAAAGGAAACUCUUCUGUAGGGCGGAUCCUGGUAGUUUGGGAUCUCUUCUUUAAAGAUUAAAAACCACGAGUGUAAAACUUACAGAUUAACGUGGGUGGGAGUUGGGGUGACAAAAAUGGGAGUCUGGCGGUUGUAUACAUUAAGACAGACUGGAUCUUCUCAAUAAAGAUUUAUAGAGAGAA